UUUUCAGCUGCGUCUUACGGUCCCAAGAAAACUCCAGAAACAGUGGACACAUUUACAACUCUGUCAUCAGCAGUGUCAAACAGCUCCACUCUGUCUUCAAACAAUAAACAUAAUAUCACUGAUGUGUCAGCAUCAAACACGACCCUGAAUACUCCGACACCUUCUGCACAAGCAACACAAGCAGCCGGAAGUGUACCAUAUUUGAUUGCUGGUCUUAUUUUUACAUUCGCCUUAGUGAUGGCCGUGCUGCUGCUUACCAGGAAGCUGAUGAAGAGAGGACAGAGAGGCCUUGAUGUCAGCUCCCCACACAAGAAUGACUGUGGCUGCGAGGGAGUGCGGUCGUCUUUCAACCAGAAGGUUGUGGGUUCGAUCC
Molecule: long non-coding RNA, 373 nt
Organism: Trematomus bernacchii (emerald rockcod)
Lineage: Eukaryota; Metazoa; Chordata; Actinopteri; Perciformes; Nototheniidae
Exons: 3
Source: RefSeq, a predicted model, not a curated record